GUCCGGGUGGCGGAAUAGGCAGACGCGCUAGCUUGAGGUGCUAGUGCCCUUUAUCGGGCGUGGGGUUCAAGUCCCCCUCGGACACCA
RNAcentral lists this transfer RNA (87 nucleotides) under Nocardioidaceae bacterium. Its description in RNAcentral is "tRNA-Leu". It matches the Rfam family "tRNA". From Rfam's summary of the family: Transfer RNA (tRNA) molecules are approximately 80 nucleotides in length. Their secondary structure includes four short double-helical elements and three loops (D, anti-codon, and T loops). Further hydrogen bonds mediate the characteristic L-shaped molecular structure. tRNAs have two regions of fundamental functional importance: the anti-codon, which is responsible for specific mRNA codon recognition, and the 3' end, to which the tRNAs corresponding amino acid is attached (by aminoacyl-tRNA synthetases). tRNAs cope with the degeneracy of the genetic code in two manners: having more than one tRNA (with a specific anti-codon) for a particular amino acid; and 'wobble' base-pairing, i.e. permitting non-standard base-pairing at the 3rd anti-codon position. The record is from RNAcentral. Lineage: Bacteria; Bacillati; Actinomycetota; Actinomycetes; Propionibacteriales; Nocardioidaceae.